GCCAAUAUAAGCCCAUUCACUAACUAAUACAACUAUAUUAAAUUUCUACCAAAACAUUCAAUUCAUCCUAGUAUAGGAGAUAGAACAGAUAAAAAGGCGCAUUAAUGAUAGUACCGCAAGGGAAACCUGAAAGAUAAGAUUAUAAGCACCACAAAGCAAAGAUUCAACCUUCUACCUUUUGCAUAAUGGUUUAGCUAGUCAACUCGGACAAAAAGAACUAUGCCCGUCCUCCCGAAAUCAAGUGAGCUACUACAAGACAGCAACUAGAGCCAACUCGUCUAUGUAGCAAAAUAGUGAGAAGAUCUUAUAGUAGAGGUGAAAAGCCUAUCGAACUUGAGGAUAGCUGGUUAUCCAAAACACGAAUAUAAGUUCAACUUUAAAUUUAACCAAAGUAAUCAUAAACAUAAUUUAAAUUUAAAAGCUAAUCUAAAGGGGGACAACUCUUUAGAUCCAGUAAACAAACUUCCAUAGAGGAUAAUGAACCAUAUACAACUCAUAGUUGGCUUAAANGCAGCCACCAAUUAAGAAAGCGUUAAAGCUCAAAUACACAAUAUCAUUUUAAUCCCUAAAAUAUAAUCAAAAUCCCUAUCUCUAAAUUGGAUAAUUCUAUAAAUAUAUAGAAGCUAUAAUGCUAAAAUUAGUAACAAGAAACAUUUCUCCCUGCACAAGCCUACAUUAGAAACGGAACAACCACUAACAAUUAACAAACUAAUAAACAUAACUAAACGACUAGAAAGCUAUUAACCAUAUUGUCAACCCAACACAGGAGUGCAACCAAGGGAAAGAUUAAAAGGAAUAAAAGGAACUCGGCAAGUACAUAUAACCCCGCCUGUUUACCAAAAACAUCACCUCUAGCAUAACAAAUAUUAGAGGCAACGCCUGCCCAGUGAGUUAAACUUUAACGGCCGCGGUAUACUGACCGUGCAAAGGUAGCAUAAUCACCUGUCCUCUAAAUAGGGACUUGUAUGAAUGGCAUCACGAGGGCCUAACUGUCUCCUAUUCCCAAUCAGUGAAAUUGACCUUCCCGUGCAGAGGCGGGAAUAAUACUACAAGACGAGAAGACCCUGUGGAGCUUAAGAUUAAUAACUUAACCCAAUCUUAAUACUACCCUAAUGGCAUAACAACACUAUAUACUAAGUUAUAAUCUUUGGUUGGGGUGACCUCGGAGAACAAAAUAACCUCCGAAUGACUAAACCCAGAUUAACAUACCUAAGUAUGACAACAUCAGUAAUUGACCCAUAUUUUGAUCAACGGAACAAGUUACCCCAGGGAUAACAGCGCAAUCCUAUUAAAGAGACCAUAUCGACAAUCAGGGUUUACGACCUCGAUGUUGGAUCAGGACAUCCAAAUGGUGCAGCCGCUAUUAAUGGUUCGUUUGUUCAACGAUUAAAGUCCUACGUGAUCUGAGUUCAGACCGGAGCAAUCCAGGUCGGUUUCUAUCUGUAUAUUCAUUACUCCCAGUACGAAAGGACAAGAGAAAUAAGGCUAAUAUUAACAGACAAGCCUCAGAGAUAAGGUAUGAAACCAUCUCAAUACCAUAACUCAAUAACUUUAUUCUCUAGAGACAGAGCUA
This 1573-nucleotide ribosomal RNA is filed under the name Phascolarctos cinereus (koala). RNAcentral's name for it is "16S ribosomal RNA". It matches the Rfam family "Bacterial large subunit ribosomal RNA". The record is from RNAcentral. Lineage: Eukaryota; Metazoa; Chordata; Mammalia; Diprotodontia; Phascolarctidae.